UGGGGAAUAUUGCACAAUGGGCGCAAGCCUGAUGCAGCCAUGCCGCGUGUGUGAAGAAGGCCUUCGGGUUGUAAAGCACUUUCAGCGGGGAGGAAGGCGGUGAGGUUAAUAACCUCACCGAUUGACGUUACCCGCAGAAGAAGCACCGGCUAACUCCGUGCCAGCAGCCGCGGUAAUACGGAGGGUGCAAGCGUUAAUCGGAAUUACUGGGCGUAAAGCGCACGCAGGCGGUCUGUCAAGUCGGAUGUGAAAUCCCCGGGCUCAACCUGGGAACUGCAUUCGAAACUGGCAGGCUAGAGUCUUGUAGAGGGGGGUAGAAUUCCAGGUGUAGCGGUGAAAUGCGUAGAGAUCUGGAGGAAUACCGGUGGCGAAGGCGGCACCCUGGACAAAGACUGACGCUCAGGUGCGAAAGCGUGGGGAGCAAACAGG
Molecule: ribosomal RNA, 429 nt
Filed under: Chloroflexota bacterium
Lineage: Bacteria; Bacillati; Chloroflexota
Description: Chloroflexi bacterium partial 16S ribosomal RNA
Rfam family: Bacterial small subunit ribosomal RNA
Source: RNAcentral